Molecule: long non-coding RNA, 1719 nt
Organism: Mangifera indica (mango)
Lineage: Eukaryota; Viridiplantae; Streptophyta; Magnoliopsida; Sapindales; Anacardiaceae
Exons: 4
Source: RefSeq, a predicted model, not a curated record
AGCUCUCCUCCUUGUCACCAUUCAUCUUAUUGCGUACAGCGUUUUCCUCUCCUUUUAUUCUCAUCGAUCCGUAUCUCGUUCUAUUUGGUUUCUCAUCUAUGUCCUCUUCCUCAGAAUAUGUUAGAUAGCUACACGAUCUAUUUAUUGAUACCAGACAUAGCGUCGGUGUUUUCUGAAGGUUUAUAAUCACCUUCAGUUUUAUGGACGAUUAUGCUUCUCGGGAUCUCUCAAUUCAGAUUGUUGAUCUUAAAUUGGAAGUUACGUUUGUUGAGGAUGAGAAGCUGUUGAAGAGCGAUGUAAAAAAGAAGAUGAUAUAAUUUCAGAUGUAAUAUAUACUAUAAUAUUGGAUGUGUAAGAUGUCAGGGCGAAAAGGCUUCUAAAUGAAGAAGCGGAUUGAGUUCUGAUAAAUCUUUGUCAUCCGACCUUUGCCAUGACAGGUGCGCUUGCAUGGCAGGUCACCGAAGUUCUCAAUAAAAAUUAUAAGUUUUUGGUUUUUGAGGAGAGAUCGCACGGGAAUUGCCCGGGUUCUCUCCUCCCUGUAUUGUGUCCUUCUUCCCUUCUCCUUCAGCAAUUGCUUUUCUCUGACUCACAAGAUGCGAGACUCAAAGGUAAAAUUUUACAAUUUACAUUCGUUGUUCUGUUUCAGAGUCUGCUAUCACAUUUAAGCCAUUCAUUCGCAUCUGCUGGGUAUCGCUAUUAAGCCUUAAAAUUAUGUGAAUAAUAUUUCUGACAGAGCAUAUGUUAAUAUUUGCCAUUGACAGUUAAUCUUGAGAAUUGCAAGGAAUUCAUCAGAAUCAUCUCACACUUAAUGAUUUUCAAAGGUACAAUGGAAUUUAGUUUUACUUGUUAAGGGCACCUAAAGGCUAUUUUGAUUGAAAAAAAGACCAUAUAGAGUUAUCUCCAUUGAUGGAGUUUAAAGCGUAAUUAUAUCUAUUUUGUAAUCUAUUACAGAUGUAGAAAUUUCACGAAUACAUAUUCAUACAAGAAAAUAUCAUAAUUAAUUUGUCUUACUACACACAAGUGAUAUUAUAACUACCUUCAUUUUCCAAGCUUCCUAGUUUACAGUUUUCACUUCUUUGCUUAGUCUGUUGUUUCCUUUGUAUUCUAAGUUAUCGUUGCAUGUAGUUUUGUGUGGAGAGUUUGCAACUUUUUUGGCCCUUUAGGGCCUGGUCCUGUGAUAUUAGGUAGGAGAGUGAUGGAGAAGGGUUUGGUGAUAUUGAUUCCACAUAGUUUUUGAACUUGGAGUUGUUGAAGUCCCUAUGUGAGAGCAUUUCAACAUUAUAAAAAAGUUUGAUUGGCUUAGGAGCAAUGAAGUUUCCAGAUGCUUACACUGCAGUACCAAGGUGUAGAAUUGAUUUUGAUGAUGAUAUGGCUACGGCUUUGAAUGUUAUUAUUCUUUUGCAACCACUCUUACGAUUAAAGCUUUGAGAGGUUGAUUAGUGAAGUUAUUGCGGUGAUGCCAGUUCAAUCUCAUUCUAAAACUAUGACUUCGAGGUGAAAGAAAUAAAGUUGACAAUGACAAUGACGAGACAAUUGGUUAAUAAUGAAAUGACAUGUGACAGACAAACUCAUUUUAAGAGUCCAUUGUUAUUAUUAUUAUUAUUAUUACACAUUUUAUAUAUUAAUUGUUGAAUCUUGUUAUAGAUGCUUGGGAUUUUAUUGUUGAACUUCGUUAUUGUUAGUAAUACAUUGAGAUUAUUUAGAAAAUUCUUUUGAGCA